GGCGGAUCCAGGAUUUCCAGUUAGGGGGGCGCAAAGUUUUAUUUUCGCCGAGCGGAGCGAGGCGAAAAUUUUUUGGAGGUUUCUUUAGGUAAAACUAUUUAAAUAUUCUUCUAAAGGGGUGAAAUGUAGAUAACUCGAACUAUUGUGUGGUAAAAUUAGCGAGAAAUUAAAGUUUCAAGCUGAAACUGCCUUAAUCCACACCUGACAACAAUCUACAGAUAGACGGGCGGACAGACGGACGGAAAGUGAGACGAGACAGAUCACAAUUGCUCACCUGACCAAUAUAUUUUUCAAACGAAAAUUUCUACUUUUAUCAGCGAUUUUUAAUUGUCCUUUCAUACUAUCUUUUUUUUUACAUUUUUGAUUUUCGGAGGUCGUGCCAGACUUCACUGUGUUCG
This 398-nucleotide long non-coding RNA is filed under the name Mytilus galloprovincialis (Mediterranean mussel). Lineage: Eukaryota; Metazoa; Mollusca; Bivalvia; Mytilida; Mytilidae. The record is from RNAcentral.